Molecule: ribosomal RNA, 253 nt
Filed under: uncultured archaeon
Lineage: Archaea
Description: partial 16S ribosomal RNA
Rfam family: Archaeal small subunit ribosomal RNA
Source: RNAcentral
CAGCCGUAAACUAUGCGCGUUAGGUGUAUCGGUGACCACGAGUUACCGAGGUGCCGAAGGGAAACCGUGAAACGUGCCGCCUGGGAAGUACGGUCGCAAGGCUGAAACUUAAAGGAAUUGGCGGGGAGCACCACAACAGGUGGAGCCUGCGGUUUAAUUGGACUCAACGCCGGGAAGCUCACCGGAUAAGACAGCAGAAUGAUUGCCGGGCUGAAGACUCUGCAUGACUAGCUGAGAGGUGGUGCAUGGCGUC